GGCUCCGUAGUUCAAUGGAUAGAAUGGAAGAUUCCGGUUCUUUUGAUGGCGGUUCGAAUCCGCCCGGGGUCA
Molecule: transfer RNA, 72 nt
Filed under: Bacteroidota bacterium
Lineage: Bacteria; Pseudomonadati; Bacteroidota
Also listed under: 1 other name
Description: Bacteroidetes bacterium (activated sludge metagenome) tRNA-Arg
Rfam family: tRNA
About the family: Transfer RNA (tRNA) molecules are approximately 80 nucleotides in length. Their secondary structure includes four short double-helical elements and three loops (D, anti-codon, and T loops).
Source: RNAcentral